UCUCCGUAGGUGAACCUGCGGAGGGAUCAUUAUUGUAUAACCGACUUGCAAGGGCUUGCGCUCACCCCAAAGGUCGUUCACGCGCGAGUGCCCCCGCACCCAUCCAUCCCGCCCCUGUGUGCCCCACGGCGUCGGUCCCCCUUUUGCUUGUUCGGUAGGGGGCGUACGUAUUCACAAAAACUUUAUAUCCAUUAAAGAAUGUAUUUUUGGUUUUUGCGAUCACGCAAUCAAUACAACUUUCAACAACGGAACUCUUGGAUCUCGCAUCCGUGCAGAACG
RNAcentral lists this unclassified non-coding RNA (279 nucleotides) under plant metagenome. Its description in RNAcentral is "partial contains small subunit ribosomal RNA, internal transcribed spacer 1, and 5.8S ribosomal RNA". The record is from RNAcentral.